RNAcentral lists this ribosomal RNA (476 nucleotides) under uncultured bacterium. RNAcentral's name for it is "bacterial SSU rRNA". It matches the Rfam family "Bacterial small subunit ribosomal RNA", at positions 26 to 518 of the family's 1533-position model. The record is from RNAcentral.
AGGACGAACGCUGGCGGCGUGCCUAACACAUGCAAGUCGAGCGAGGAGAUUCCUUCGGGAUGAUCCUAGCGGCGGACGGGUGAGUAACACGUGGGCAACCUGCCUCAUAGAGAGGAAUAGCCUUCCGAAAGGGAGAUUAAUACCUCAUAACAUUGCAGUUUCGCAUGGAACAGCAAUUAAAGGAGCAAUCCACUAUGAGAUGGGCCCGCGGCGCAUUAGCUAGUUGGUGAGGUAACGGCUCACCAAGGCGACGAUGCGUAGCCGACCUGAGAGGGUGAUCGGCCACAUUGGGACUGAGACACGGCCCAGACUCCUACGGGAGGCAGCAGUGGGGAAUAUUGCACAAUGGGGGAAACCCUGAUGCCAGCAACGCCGCGUGAGUGAUGACGGCCUUCGGGUUGUAAAGCUCUGUCUUCAGGGACGAUAAUGACGGUACCUGAGGAGGAAGCCACGGCUAACUACGUGCCAGCCGCCGC